Helianthus annuus (common sunflower) is the source of this 2073-nucleotide long non-coding RNA. RefSeq lists it as uncharacterized. The transcript has 3 exons. The record is from RefSeq and is a predicted model, not a curated record. Lineage: Eukaryota; Viridiplantae; Streptophyta; Magnoliopsida; Asterales; Asteraceae.
UAUUUAAUAUUUAAGAACUCCGGAGCGAAUACUUUACAAACCGUCAUGAGCUUCAUAUAAAAGUGCCAUGUCGUAGCUUGUCAGUCUACGUAAGAACUCCGGAGCGUAUAUUUUGCAAACCAUGUUGCAAAAAUAUUCUAGGCACUCGCGGGAAGUUCUUUCGGCCAUAUGCAAGUACUCGUCGUUCUCGUCUGGAGUGAUACCAGUUGCGAGCUAUUUAAUAGCCGAUGUAACCUUUUGCAACGGCGUAAAGCCCUUCCUACCUCGUGCAUCGAAGACCUCUUGAAACCACGAGUCGUUCGCUUCCACGUCGCUCACAAUUUUUAGAAACAAACGUUUCGACAUACGGAACCUAUGCCGAAAAAUAUUUUCACUGUAUUUCGGGUCUUCGACAAAAUAAUCCACCAUGAGUGUCUCAUGCCCCACCUCACGUUGACGUUCAACAUAUCUCCUUCGGUUAGAUGUGCUCGUGUCUUGAACUUCGGCUUCUUCGAUGAGAUUUUGGAAAAAAGAAUGCUACUAUCGGAUGAAUCGUUGCUACUAUCGGGUGGAAAAAAUAACGGGAGUUCAUCCGCCAUUUUGUUUUGGAAUGAUUGGGUAAAUGUUUGGUAUUUUUUGGUUUGGUUGGGGUAUAAAUUUGAAUGUGUUUGGGUAUGAAUUAUGUUUGGUAUUUAUAAUUAAAUUUUAAAGAGAAUUUUUUUUGUUUUAAACGAUUAUAUAGCCGUUGAGCAUCACCCCCAACGGUCAAAACCUUCAUUUGUCGAUCGGUAACAUGUCACCGAUGUUCAAAACCCACUUUACCGCACCCCUUGCCGCCCACACCUUAUACCUUGAUGGGCAUUUCCACUAAAAUCAAUCACUAGUGAUGGAAUAAUGCUUGAUAACAUGGCAGAACUUGAUUGGAAGUUGUGAGUGAUGAGUGAGCGAUGAGUGAUGGGCGCUCCUACCCCUUAAUAUUUGUUUUUGUAAAGUUAGUGUUGGUUUAAAAUCUUGUAAGAGCAAUAUUACCUGGUAAUUAUGUGUAAAAAUGUUUUUCGAAAAAAUAAAACUUUUUAUAAACAACAAUCAAACGUACCUAAUCUAUUAUAUAUAAUAAAUGAAAGUGAUUUGGGCCACGUGUCACUUAAUUAGGGCAUUCUCAGUUCUGUUUUCCCGCCCAACAGUACCACACUUCCAUCCCUUUUAUAUUCCCUCCGUCUCCUUUUUUUUUUCUUUUCAAAACCCUACAUCUGAAUCUUCUUCUCCUUCUCCUUCUCCUGUACUCUUCUCCCUUCUUAACCAAAGAUCAAACCAAAUCAUCUCAUCAUCAAUCAUUCAGCCUUUGUAAUUUUCAUGUCUGAUUAUAUCACGAAGAGGUAAUAUCUGGCUUUUGUAAUUAUCAUCCCGAGCUAUAGUUGGGAAGAUUCUUUCAUCUUCUUCGUCGGCAAGGUUCUUCCAUUUGAGGGUUGUUGUCAUCGAUGGUCAUCAAAUUUGAAAUCCGCUUACCUGCGGAUAGAUUUCCGCCAUGAACUGGGUUUCAUUUGCUUGAGAUUUGAAUCUUCCGAUUGUUGAAGCCUUUGAAGCCGAUCCUUUUAAAUUUCUAGUUCCCGAUGUAUUAUCUGUUUGUAACAGCAGUGGUUCAGCAUCUACAGUGGAUUCAACAUCAGGUGUUUGCUAUUAUUGUUUGAUGUUGUUUGCUAUUGUUGUUUGAUGUUGUUUGCUAUUAUUGUUUGAUGUUGUUUGCUAUUAUUGUUUGAUGUUGUUUGCUAUUGUUGUCAAGUAAGGUAAAAAUGACCAUUCUAAUUACCUGAAUAUUGCGUAUGAUAUCCUUUUAAUUUUAAUCGCCCAACAAGUUUUUUGGUUUGUUUCUUUCAUAUUUCAUUAUGAUUUGUAUGCUUUUAUGGUUUGAUUUUAUAUUGGUCAUCACAUUAAUGGUGAGUACUCAAGAAUAUUGGAUGGUUUACUUAGUUUUAUUUUGGGUAUUUUUGGAUGAUUUCAUCCAUUUCUUUAGAUAGUUCAUGAUUGAAGAUGCAGUUAAAGGGAUCAUUUGAGUGAAAUGAAUGUUGAUUUAUCAGAAGAUGCAGUUGAAGGUAU